This 381-nucleotide long non-coding RNA is filed under the name Ananas comosus (pineapple). RNAcentral's name for it is "long non-coding RNA (ACOM_LNC017172)". The record is from RNAcentral. Lineage: Eukaryota; Viridiplantae; Streptophyta; Magnoliopsida; Poales; Bromeliaceae.
AAUUAUUAAGUAUGAAAUUUCAAGUUACUAAAAACGUAUAACAUGUCGGAUCGUUGGCGAUAAUCAUUAAUCCCAAAAGCUCAAACUGUUAGAAAUACGCAACUAAUUCAUUCAAAGUGUAUAGAUACAGCGCUCACGGAUCUCAAUUGUGACUUGGCAUAAUCAGUCUCACACUACUUCGAACGUGACUCGGUUCACCCAGCCUCACGUCAUUUCGAAUAUGACUCGGCCCAACAUGACCUUCCGCCACAAAGCAGAAUGCUGGCCCAUUUAAGCCAACAUAACAAUCAAACAUUAUUUAAUUAAUAUAUUGUAUAAAAGAAUUAAAUAUAUUUAAAAUAUUUGAUUAAAUUAGUUAGAAAUAUAUUAAAGACAUCUAAG